RNAcentral lists this ribosomal RNA (1449 nucleotides) under metagenome. Its description in RNAcentral is "bacterial LSU rRNA". It matches the Rfam family "Bacterial large subunit ribosomal RNA", at positions 1491 to 2925 of the family's 2925-position model. The record is from RNAcentral.
UCGGGUGUUGGACGUCCCGGUUCAAGCGUGUAGGCGUGCUGCAUAGGCAAAUCCGUGCGGCUUAGCUGAGGCGUGACGACGAGGUCUCAUCGAGACUGAAGUAGUUGAUACCCCGCUUCCAGGAAAAGCCUCUAAGCUUCAGUUCAAGGUUGACCGUACCGCAAACCGACACAGGUGGGCAGGGUGAGAAUCCUAAGGCGCUUGAGAGAACUCGGGCGAAGGAACUCGGCAAAUUAGCACCGUAACUUCGGGAGAAGGUGCGCCCCGGUAGGUUGUAGUCCCUCGCGGACGAAGGCCGAUGGGGUUGCAGUGAAAUGGUGGCUGCGACUGUUUAAUAAAAACACAGCACUCUGCAGAGAUGAUGAAUCGACGUAUAGGGUGUGACGCCUGCCCGGUGCCGGAAGGUUAAGUGAUGGGGUGCAAGCUCUUGAUCGAAGCCCCGGUAAACGGCGGCCGUAACGAUAACGGUCCUAAGGUAGCGAAAUUCCUUGUCGGGUAAGUUCCGACCUGCACGAAUGGCGUAACGAUGGCCACACUGUCUCCACCCGAGACUCAGCGAAGUUGAAAUGUUUGUGAUGAUGCAAUCUACCCGCGGCUAGACGGAAAGACCCCGUGCACCUUUACUGUAGCUUUGCAUUGGACUGUGAUGGGAUCUGUGUAGGAUAGGUGGGAGGCGUUGAUGGCGUGCCGCUAGGUGCGCCGGAGCCGACGUUGAAAUACCACCCUGAUGUCAUUGCGGUUCUAACCUUGGGCCAUGAAUCUGGCUCGGGGACCGUGCAUGGUAGGCAGUUUGACUGGGGCGGUCUCCUCCCAAAGUGUAACGGAGGAGUGCGAAGGUACGCUUGGCGCGGUCGGACAUCGCGCUGUAAGUGCAAUGGCAAAAGCGUGCUUGACUGCGAGACUGACAAGUCGAGCAGCUACGAAAGUAGGUCAUAGUGAUCCGGUGGUUCUGUAUGGAAGGGCCAUCGCUCAACGGAUAAAAGGUACGCCGGGGAUAACAGGCUGAUUCCUCCCAAGAGUUCACAUCGACGGGGGAGUUUGGCACCUCGAUGUCGGCUCAUCACAUCCUGGGGCUGUAGCCGGUCCCAAGGGUAUGGCUGUUCGCCAUUUAAAGUGGUACGUGAGCUGGGUUUAAAACGUCGUGAGACAGUUUGGUCCCUAUCUGCCGUGGGCGCUGGAAGUUUGAGGGGGGCUGCUCCUAGUACGAGAGGACCGGAGUGGACGUGCCUCUGGUGUACCGGUUAUGACGCCAGUCGUAUCGCCGGGUAGCUAAGCACGGAAGAGAUAACCGCUGAAAGCAUCUAAGCGGGAAACUCGCCUCAAGAUGAGACUUCCCGAGGCCUUGAGCCUCUUAAAGGGUCGUCGAAGACUACGACGUUGAUAGGCGCCGUGUGCAAGCGUGGCAACACGUUCAGCUAAGGCGUACUAAUUGCCCGUAAGGCUUGAUCC